CUUGGUCAUUUAGAGGAAGUAAAAGUCGUAACAAGGUCUCCGUAGGUGAACCUGCGGAGGGAUCAUUAAUAAGAUAAAAGACCUCUGGGUCCUUCAUCCUCAAACCUGUGGAAGCGAGAUGUGUUUCGGCGCCUCUGUGCGUCGAAUCUAUGCUGUUUAGCUUAUGUCUGACUGAAAACAAACAUUUAAAACUUUCAACAAAGGAUCUCUUGGCUCUCGUAUCGAUGAAGAACGCAGCAAAGCGCGAAAUGUAAUGUGAAUUGCAGAACAUUGUGAAUCAUCGAAUCUUUGAACGCACAUUGCGCCUCCCGUAAAUGGGAGGCAUGCCUGUCUGAGCGUCAUUUAAAACCAUAACCUUUGGGUUGUAUUGGGACUCGCCCUAUGGCGUCUCCUCAAAGUCAUCGUGUCUAAAAGCGUACGAGCUCCAUUAGGACAGAACGUUUGAGGACCCUAAACUCUCUGACUUGACCUCAGAUCAGGUAGGACUACCGCCUGAACUUAAGCAUAUCAAUAAGCGGAGGA
Molecule: ribosomal RNA, 522 nt
Filed under: uncultured Basidiomycota
Lineage: Eukaryota; Fungi; Basidiomycota
Description: eukaryotic LSU rRNA
Rfam family: 5.8S ribosomal RNA (bases 190-341)
Source: RNAcentral